AACGAACGCUGGCGGCGUGCCUAACACAUGCAAGUCGAGCGCGAAAAGAGCAAUCUGAGUAGAGCGGCGCACGGGUGCGUAACACGUGGGUAAUCUGCCUCAAGGUCUGGGAUAACCUUCCGAAAGGUUGGCUAAUACCAGUUAAGCUCACGGUGACUUCGGUCGCUGAGAGAAAAGGGGCCCGAAAGGGUCUCGCCAUGAGAUGAGCCCGCGGCCCAUCAGCUAG
RNAcentral lists this ribosomal RNA (226 nucleotides) under uncultured bacterium. Its description in RNAcentral is "partial 16S ribosomal RNA". It matches the Rfam family "Bacterial small subunit ribosomal RNA", at positions 29 to 248 of the family's 1533-position model. The record is from RNAcentral.